Molecule: long non-coding RNA, 356 nt
Organism: Acipenser ruthenus (sterlet)
Lineage: Eukaryota; Metazoa; Chordata; Actinopteri; Acipenseriformes; Acipenseridae
Exons: 3
Source: RefSeq, a predicted model, not a curated record
GUCAUCAUGGAAGAAGAGCCUCCCAGACUUCUGAUGCAAGAGACUGAUGGGUACAACGGCAUCAUUCUAAUGGUAAAGAAGCCUUGUGGAAUAAUCCACAAAUGAAAGAAGGAACAUUCACUCUUUGCCAUGCGGAUGGUACUCGGUGGCCUAUAGAGGAUUUUGAAAAGGAACAUGCAAGCCUUAGUGAGAUUAAGGAUGUCUGGAAAAAAACCUUCUACAUUGGACACAGACCCAUAGGAAGAAGUUAGCGGUUUGGAACACUCAAUUGCAGAACAAAAAAGGAACCGCAAAACAAACUAUGUGGAAGAGGCAAGUAUUGCAUUUCUUCAAAACACACAUUUUAAUCAUUGUAU